Molecule: ribosomal RNA, 480 nt
Filed under: uncultured bacterium
Lineage: Bacteria
Description: partial 16S ribosomal RNA
Rfam family: Bacterial small subunit ribosomal RNA
Source: RNAcentral
GACGAACGCUGGCGGCGUGCCUGACACAUGCAAGUCGAGCGAGUGAAUCUCCUUCGGGAGUGAAGCUAGCGGCGGACGGGUGAGUAACACGUGGGCAACCUGCCUCAUAGAGGGGAAUAGCCUUUCGAAAGGAAGAUUAAUACCGCAUAAGAUUGUAGCUUCGCAUGAAGUAGCAAUUAAAGGAGCAAUCCGCUAUGAGAUGGGCCCGCGGCGCAUUAGCUAGUUGGUGAGGUAGCGGCUCACCAAGGCGACGAUGCGUAGCCGACCUGAAAGGGUGAUCGGCCACAUUGGGACUGAGACACGGCCCAGACUCCUACGGGAGGCAGCAGUGGGGAAUAUUGCACAAUGGGGGAAACCCUGUUGCAGCAACGCCGCGUGAGUGAUGACGGCCUUCGGGUUGUAAAGCUCUGUCUUCAGGGACGAUAAUGACGGUACCUGAGGAGGAAGCCACGGCUAACUACGUGCCAGCCGCCGCGGUAA